RNAcentral lists this microRNA precursor (54 nucleotides) under Aedes aegypti (yellow fever mosquito). Its description in RNAcentral is "Aae-Mir-11911_pre stem-loop". The record is from RNAcentral. Lineage: Eukaryota; Metazoa; Arthropoda; Insecta; Diptera; Culicidae.
AGUUGAUCCAAGUAGUCUUGCCUUUGUAAGAAGACGAGUGCUUGGAUCAUCAAU